GCUGGGUUUAGGGGCGCAUGCCUGUAAUCCCAGCUGCUCAGGAGGCUGAGGCAGGAGGAUAGCUAGUUCAAAGCCAGCCUCAG
RNAcentral lists this small RNA (83 nucleotides) under Marmota monax (woodchuck). The record is from RNAcentral. Lineage: Eukaryota; Metazoa; Chordata; Mammalia; Rodentia; Sciuridae.